GGGCCAGCAACAUUAGAUUGGUCUGCAAGAGUGCGUCUUGGAGGAGUUUCUUCAGCCAUCUCCUUUGCUCUUCGAACUUGUGAAGGUGAUAGUAAUCUGUCAGGAGAAGGAAACAAAUCCCUAGAUGGGCGUCUGACUCUCCUUCUUUCCCUUGUCUCACUUAAGCCUUCAAAAAGAGGUUGUGUAUUUUUCUUGCUCCUAGUAUGUCUAGUCUCCUGUUGCAUGCACAAGAAACACAAACCCUAGUAGCACUUUUAUAUAAAAAAUAAAAAAUAAAAAAUAAAAAAAUAUAAAAAAAUAAAAAGAUAAAAACAAAAUAUAUACAAUCAAGUCAAAGUUAAUCAGUUUACACUACUAGAUAAGUUAAACCACGAGUCCCCAGCAACGGCGCCAAAAACUUGUUAAGUCCCUGGCAAGUGUACCAGAUCGUUAUCAAGUAAUAUAAAAUGGGUAAGUCCAAGUAUCGUUUCCCAAAGGACUCUUAGGC
RNAcentral lists this long non-coding RNA (487 nucleotides) under Vigna radiata. Its description in RNAcentral is "long non-coding RNA (VRAD_LNC001958)". The record is from RNAcentral. Lineage: Eukaryota; Viridiplantae; Streptophyta; Magnoliopsida; Fabales; Fabaceae.